Molecule: long non-coding RNA, 1124 nt
Organism: Rattus rattus (black rat)
Lineage: Eukaryota; Metazoa; Chordata; Mammalia; Rodentia; Muridae
Exons: 2
Source: RefSeq, a predicted model, not a curated record
CUCUAUGGUAAGUCACUCCGGGGGGCCUUGCUAAAUUAGGUGUCAGAAGCUUAGUCAUUGUAACCAGGGCCCUUCCAGGCACGAUCUGUGUGGCUGCAAAGUCAUCCUCCCUGCCACUUUCUUAUUCGAUAAAGGCCAGUAAAAUGUAGUAAGGAAUGGAAUGGAAAGACAAUUGUCUUUGGAGGCAUUACCCGACUGGCAUUGACUGAGAACAUAGAGUUAAUGCUUAGACCGUCAGUUCAGACCCUUCUGACAUGCAGGAAGUACAUCUAGAUACUUCAAGGGUAGGACGAUUCCUGAGAGCUGACGUCUUUCUGCCUUGGAAGAUGCCAGCCUUGUUUCAGCUUGCUAUAACCUCCCACUGGAAAAAGUCAGGCCUUUCCUGGACAGCCAGAGGCCUAGAACUUCACUCGCAGGCUUUGAUAUGAACCACGUUCUGAUGGGGCCUGGGUCUCCCUUGCCUUAGGUUUCCUCAACUGCAGAUCAGGAAGAUUCUACCAAUGAUAUUUUUACCUCAAAGUGAUGUCGUAAUGAAGAUGGCAGAAAAAGCAUUUUGCAAGAUCAAAAAAAAAAAAAAAAAAGCCUUCUUAGCAAGCACGUAGCGAGCUAUCUCUGUGUCUGCUAGAAUCUCAGAGGAAACUCUCUGAUCUAAGACUCUAAAGAGGCACAGGCACAGGACUGACGUUGGCUUUUUCUUUCUGGAAUUUCUGUGCCCUUUACCUCGGUAUUACUUUAAAUGACAUUGGCAGAAAGACUUGGCAAUGCUGCUGGUGAUGGCGCUGAUGUUGGUAUGGUGCUGAUGUUGUGUGGAUGGUGCUGAUGUUGGUAUGGUGCUGAUGUUGUGUGGAUGGUGCUGAUGUUGGUAUGGUGCUGAUGUUGGUAUGGUGCUGAUGUUGGUAUGGUGCUGAUGUUGGUAUGGUGCUGAUGUUGGUAUGGUGCUGAUGUUGGUAUGGUGCUGAUGUUGGUAUGGUGCUGAUGUUGGUGGAUGGUGCUGAUGUUGUUUUGGGUGGUGCUGAUGUUGGUAUGGUGCUGAUCACACAGGAGCCUUAUAGCACUGUCUUCUCAUCUGCCUAGAUUCCUUUAUGAUGCCCACUUUCCCAGUGAGAGGAGCUGAGGUUUAAAAA